UCGAGACUUGUGGAUGUGCUCGAGAUGUUUCGCCAGGCCCCCUCGCACCCUCAGGAGUCCCUCGAGGCCUCUUCUUGCUUUUCUUCCUCGGGGGCUGCCCCUGUGGAUGAGCGUCUGCCCUUGUGCUGACAAAGUUUCGAAGAGCCCGAGGAUCAAAAGACAUACCUGCAAAAAUUUACAAACAUUUUAGAACGAGCACAAGGUCAGGCUAUUUUUCAAAAAAUAAUAAUAAAGGAACAUCCCUACCAUCGACGCCUCUAAUAUCUGCCAGGUCUAUAACCUCUUCCCCAAUCUCCUUCAUCGUCGAGAAAAGGGGGCUGAGCCCGACCAGCAUCCUCCUAUGCUCUUCCAAAACAUCCGGAUAUACCUGGCCCUCACAGAACUUCUCGG
This 390-nucleotide long non-coding RNA is filed under the name Olea europaea (common olive). Its description in RNAcentral is "long non-coding RNA (OEUR_LNC000403)". Lineage: Eukaryota; Viridiplantae; Streptophyta; Magnoliopsida; Lamiales; Oleaceae. The record is from RNAcentral.